Molecule: ribosomal RNA, 479 nt
Filed under: uncultured organism
Description: partial 16S ribosomal RNA
Rfam family: Bacterial small subunit ribosomal RNA
Source: RNAcentral
CGUACACUCCUGCGGGAGGCAGCAGUGGGGAAUAUUGCACAAUGGGCGCAAGCCUGAUGCAGCCAUGCCGCGUGUAUGAAGAAGGCCUUCGGGUUGUAAAGUACUUUCAACGGGGAGGAAGGCGAUAAGGUUAAUAACCUUGUCGAUUGACGUUACCCGCAGAAGAAGCACCGGCUAACUCCGUGCCAGCAGCCGCGGUAAUACGGAGGGUGCAAGCGUUAAUCGGAAUUACUGGGCGUAAAGCGCACGCAGGCGGUCUGUCAAGUCGGAUGUGAAAUCCCCGGGCUCAACCUGGGAACUGCAUUCGAAACUGGCAGGCUAGAGUCUUGUAGAGGGGGGUAGAAUUCCAGGUGUAGCGGUGAAAUGCGUAGAGAUCUGGAGGAAUACCGGUGGCGAAGGCGGCCCCCUGGACAAAGACUGACGCUCAGGUGCGAAAGCGUGGGGAGCAAACAGGAUUAGAAACCCGAGUAGUCCCAUGA